Molecule: ribosomal RNA, 254 nt
Filed under: uncultured bacterium
Lineage: Bacteria
Description: partial 16S ribosomal RNA
Rfam family: Bacterial small subunit ribosomal RNA
Source: RNAcentral
UACGUAGGGUGCGAGCGUUGUCCGGAAUUAUUGGGCGUAAAGAGCUCGUAGGCGGUGUGUCACGUCGGCCGUGAAAACCCGCGGCUCAACCGCGUGGCUUGCAGUCGAUACGGGCAGGCUAGAAUUCGGUAGGGGAGACUGGAAUUCCUGGUGUAGCGGUGAAAUGCGCAGAUAUCAGGAGGAACACCGGUGGCGAAGGCGGGUCUCUGGGCCGAUACUGACGCUGAGGAGCGAAAGCGUGGGGAGCGAACAGG